This 253-nucleotide ribosomal RNA is filed under the name uncultured bacterium. RNAcentral describes it as "partial 16S ribosomal RNA". It matches the Rfam family "Bacterial small subunit ribosomal RNA", at positions 524 to 776 of the family's 1533-position model. The record is from RNAcentral.
UACGUAGGGUGCAAGCGUUGCCCGGAAUUAUUGGGCGUAAAGAGCUCGUAGGCGGUUUGUCGCGUCUGCUGUGAAAUUUCGGGGCUCAACCCCGGAACUGCAGUGGGUACGGGCAGACUAGAGUGCGGUAGAGGAGACUGGAAUUCCUGGUGUAGCGGUGGAAUGCGCAGAUAUCAGGAGGAACACCAGUGGCGAAGGCGGGUCUCUGGGCCGCAACUGACGCUGAGGAGCGAAAGCGUGGGGAGCUAACAGG